RNAcentral lists this ribosomal RNA (253 nucleotides) under uncultured bacterium. RNAcentral's name for it is "partial 16S ribosomal RNA". It matches the Rfam family "Bacterial small subunit ribosomal RNA", at positions 524 to 776 of the family's 1533-position model. The record is from RNAcentral.
UACGUAGGGAGCAAGCGUUGUCCGGAAUCAUUGGGCGUAAAGCGCGCGUAGGCGGCUUCGUAAGUCCGUUGUGAAAGUCAAAGGCUCAACCUUUGAAAGCCGAUGGAUACUGCGGAGCUAGAGUACGGAAGAGGCGAGUGGAAUUCCUGGUGUAACGGUGGAAUGCGCAGAUAUCAGGAGGAACACCAAUAGCGAAGGCAGCUCGCUGGGACGUUACUGACGCUGAGGCGCGAAAGCGUGGGGAGCGAACAGG